GAAACAACAACAACAACAUGUAGAGAAAAUAGUUAAAUAAGAUUUUUUUUCGUGGUCUAUUUAUCCAUUUUCGUUAAUAGAAGAAUAUCGAAUGAAAACGAAUCAAAAUGGGAAACUAUAAAUCAAGGCCAAAUAUAUCUUGUGCAGAAGAGUUGAAGAAGAAGAUCAGUGAGAGUAACUCACUUUUUCGGUCCCACAUAAGUGAAGAUCUUCGGCCGGUGCUGCAGACAGAAUGGUCAGAACUUCAGCUGGCUUGCAGUGGUUGUGAUACAGGCCAUGUAAUAUCGUUGCUAACAGAGGAAAACAUCCAUGAGGUGACGGACACUGGCCUUACCCUGCUUCAUGUGGCUUGCAUUUCUGGGGGUAGCAAACAUUUAGUAGAAGUUCUGUUACAAAAAGGGAUCAAGCCAGGAAUCCUGUCCAAAAAUCAGUUCUCUGCCUUGCAUUUGGCAACAUACAAAGGCGACAUAGACUGUGUACAGGCUCUGCUAGAAAGCAGUGUAGAUGUGAACCAGACAGGUCACAGUGGCCUAACUAGUCUGCACAUAGCGGCCAUGUGUGGCCACAGAGAGAUUGCCAGCUGCCUUCUACAGAAUGGAGCCAAUGUCAACGUUGAAGAUGCUGUGAAGUUUACACCACUGCACAUUACUUGCAACUUUGGUCAUGACAAGGUUGCGGAAGUCCUGUUGCAACACGGGGCCGAUGUGAACAUUGCGGGCAGCGUGGGCGACAGACCUCUCCACCUGGCCUGUGGGAAGGGCUAUGUGCGGGUCACACAGCUGCUUGUGGAAGGUAGCGGGAAAUCCAAGGCCGAUGUGAAUGUGAGGGAUGAUGAAGAGCACACUCCUAUCCAUUUCUGCUGCAAGUCUGGCCACCUGGUGGUCCUUCACUACCUGCUGGAACAGAAUGCCGAUCCACAUUGUGUCAAUAUCUAUGGCGACACACCACUGCACCUGGCUUGUUACCAUGGUAAACUGGAGAUUGUGAGACAGCUUAUCUCCAGGACAGGGCUGGACAGCGUUGCCAAGGAGAACAUCUUUAGUGAGACACCACUGCAUAGUGCAUGCACAAGUGGGAGGAGUGUGGAGAUGAUCAAGUUCCUGCUGGACCAGCCUGGAGUGAAGGCAAACUGUCAGGGGAAAGACGGGCAUACCGCGUUGCACAGUGCCUGUUACCAUGGUCACCUGCGUGUGGUUCAGUACCUACUUGAGAAAGGCGCCGACAUCAACCUGGUGGCACAUGUCAGCGACCAGAACGGGGGCAGCGAAAAACGAGAGGAGCAGACGGCACUCAUGUGGGCAUAUGAACAAGGUCAUGACGCCAUAGUAACACUGGUUAAGCAUCACAAGCGACCCCAUGAUGAGUCCGCCCAUGGAGACUACAGCCAGCCCGGCGGGGAGGGCUCCUAUGUGUCCGUACCGUCUCCCAUCGGCAAGCUCAAGAGUAUGACAAGAGAGAAGAUAGAGGUGCUCCAGCUGCGUGCUGACUUGCCCCACCAGUUCCACAUCCUGAUCUCAGACAUUGACUUCCAGGACGUGAUUGGCAGUGGGUCCUUUGGCAAGGUCUACAAGGGACGCUGCAGGGGCAAGACAGUCGCAGUCAAGAGAUACAAGGCGAGCUGUUUUGGCACGAAGUCAGACGUGGACAUGUUCUGUCGUGAGGUAGCCAUACUUUCCAAGCUGAACAGCCCCUACGUCAUACAGUUCAUGGGGGCAUGCUUGGAUGACCCUAGUCAAUUUGCCAUAGUGACACAGUAUGUUGCAGGCGGGUCUCUGUUCAGCCUUCUUCAUGAGCAGAAAAGAUUGCUGGACAUCCACUCAAAGCUGAUCAUAGCAACAGAUGUCGCUAGGGGCAUGAAGUACCUUCACACUCUUCCCCAGCCAAUCAUUCACCGCGACCUCAACAGUCAAAACAUACUUCUAGAGGAGAACGGAAGGGCGAUUGUGGCUGACUUUGGAGAGUCCCAGUUCCUGCGGACAUUAGAAGACAACAUGACCAAGCAGCCCGGGAACCUGCGCUGGAUGGCUCCAGAGAUCUUCACGCAGUGCACCAAGUACAGUAUCAAGGCGGACGUGUUCAGCUUCUCUUUGUGUUUGUGGGAACUGUUGGCUGGGGAGCUACCCUUUGCGCACCUGAAACCAGCUGCGGCUGCAGCAGAGAUGGCCUACCAUCAGACCCGCCCACCCAUAGCUGUCACAUUUCCUAAACCACUCGUGUCCUUGCUUCAGUGUGGAUGGAAUCCUAACCCAGAGGAAAGACCAGAUUUUGCAGAGAUUCUGCCCAUACUUGAGGAAUGUAAACAGUCCGGCACAGUGAUGUUGCUUAGCAACCCCUCUGGGUACCAGUCUCUGUCCGCCAGUCUCCCAGCAGUGAUCCGGGACCACGAUGGUAUCCUUGACGAUGGCAGGUCCACUCCGCCCUUGGCGGGAAAUGUCAGUGCUUUGAAGAGCCGCUGGGAACAAACUGUCCAGCAGCAUAGUGUGGAUGACUUAAGAACAAGGCUACCAUUCCCACAGUUAGACAAAUAUGGUUAUGUGUGCGACCCCCUGAGUACCCUUAGAAUCUCCAUCCCUCUGGAGCAGAGAAGAGAGGCCUCAAAGUCCAGCCCUAAUUCACAGGCCCAAUGAUCCGAUAAUGUUUUAAGAUCCAUCUUGAUGUUUAUCACAAAUACUCAGUCAAUAGCAAUAGCAUUCAUUAUUAUGUAAUAAGUUUUCCGAUUGGUCAAUAUUUGAAGUUGAGAUAUAAAACAAGUCUGCCAUUGGUCAAUUUAUAAAGUUUGGCUAUGGAACAAACUUUGCCAUAUCUGAAUUGUGUAGGCCUAGUUAUGUUACAAACUUGUGUUGUGGUUCAUAAAUUGAAAUAUGUUACACUCUUUGCCAUUGUUCAAUAUUGUAAAUUCGAAUUCUGUUUGAUAUAUACACUGUUCAAAGUCUUUUGUGCCAGAUACCAAACCAAGGAGCUUGUGCUCCUUAUACUCUUUGUAAAAGAAAUAUGUGAGCCCUGCAUUUAACAAGCCAUGGUACAUUGAAACCUACAAGUUGAUAUCCUACUUUGUAACAUAAGUAUAUUCUGAUAUGACAUUUUGAUAUCGGUCUUUGCACACGCAUGUCCUCUAGGUUUCUUAAUGGUUGGUAUAUCUCAACAACAUUUACCUUGCACUGGUUAUCUCCCAUUGGCAUAAUUAUACGCUUGAUUUGUUUUGCUAUAUUUGUAAUCUUAUUUGUUAGUGAACGUUUUGCAUGAGUUUAAUCUGAGCCUAACAGUACAGUUAGUGAGGAAAACUUCAAUUGAUUUCAGUCGCUUCAUAUAUUCGCUGUUAUGGUAUUAAAAUAUAUUCAUACAUAAAGGUUAGUGCCAGGUUAUUGUUGGUGCUCUAUAUAUUGAACACUAUAAAGCUGUUACACAGAGAAGGUGGUAUCUUUGAAGAGCUAUUUAAAGGCAAGAUGUUGGUUAUUUUAUUAUAUUUUAAGAACCUUUUUACGAGAAGUUUUAGUGAAUCACCAGUCUUUCAUGCAUUUCAAAAAUCAUGUUCAUUAGAUUUUUUUCUCAUGUCAUCUCAAUAUUGGUGCUUUAGUAAAUAAAUGUAUGACAUGCAUCUAUGUUAAAUUACAACUUUAUAUGGUUGUAUUUACAUUUGUUUUCUUUUUCAGUUGUUGGAUUCUUUAGUUGUUUUGAAUAUUAAUGCUGUAUGUUUUGAAUAUUAAUGCUGUAUGCUGAUUUUUUAACCAGGUUUUCCGAAGGAAAAAACUGGUUAUUAGAUUGGCGAAUGCGGGCGGGCUGGCUGGCUGGCUGGCUGGCGGGCUGGCUGGCUGGCGGGCUGGCGGAAUAAGCUUGUCGGGGCCAUAACUAUGUCGUUCAUUGUCAGAUUUUAAAAUCAUUUGGCACAUUUGUUCACCAUCAUUGGACGGUGUGUCGCGCGAAAUAAUUACGUCGAUAUCUCCAAGGUCAAGGUCACACUUUGAGUUCAAAGGUCAAAAAUGGCCAUAAAUGAGCUUGUCCAAGCCAUAACUAUGUCGUUCAUCGUCAGAUUUUAAAAUCAUUUGGCACAUUUGUUCACCAUCAUUGGACGGUGUGUCGCGCGAAAUAAUUACGUCGAUAUCUCCAAGGUCAAGGUCACACUUUGAGUUCAAAGGUCAAAAAUGGCCAUAAAUGAGCUUGUCCUGGCCAUAACUAUGUCAUUCAUUGUGAGAUUUUAAAAUCAUUUGGCACAUUUGUUCACCAUCAUGGGACGGUGUGUCCCACGAAAGAAUCACGUCAAUAUCUCCAAUGUCAAGGUCGCCACGACUAAAAAUAGAUUUAAAAAAAAAAAAAAACUUACAAAGGGGGUUAAUUUUUUUUGGUCAUUUCAAAAGUUCAGUUUGAGUUUUCUCCCUAUAUCAGAUUUUUUUUCGCAAUGAAAACCUGGUUUUGUGACAAUUUUGUCCCUUGUUUAACGUAUAUACUUACAUACUUAUUAGAUAUGUAAUACACAUUCUUUAUUCAUAUUAGAUAUAAAUUGAACAGAUAUUUAUAUUAUUAGUUUUUAGGAGGUUUACAAUAAGGGAAUUAAUGAUGUACCAAAGAUAACUCGAUUUUUUGUGUUAAGAAAUGCUGCAUUAGUCUGUAUUUACCUGCGUUUAUAGUCUGAUUUAUCUAUAUAAUUUUCAAUGCAUAUUACAGCACACAUUCAUUUUUACCAUGUGUAUGGUUGAGCAAUACCCAUGAUGUGCUAACCGGUAUAGUUUGAAAGUCAACAAUAUUGAAAGAGUUUGUAUGCUUUUGAAUGAUUUAGUCAUUUAACAAAUAUUUUUAAUUAAAUUGAUGAUAAUGGUGUUCAAUAUUUUUUACACCUGUGCAAUAACUUGUAAAUUGUGUUCAUGUUUUUCUUGAGCCUUUGAAAUGUUUUCGAUAUAUUUGCCUAAUGAAACCCGUGCCAAAUUAUGAAGUAAAGCAUUGUUAGAACUGCACCAGUUCUGAACAGUUUUAGUGUUUUACGUGUGUGUUUUUAUAUAGAAGUUGUGUAAUUUUCACACAAAACAACUUUAAGAUUCAACAUAUCUUUAAAUAUGUGCAUUUUUAUAUGUAUGUUUUUUAUAUAGAAGUUGUGUAAUUUUCACACAAAACAACUUUAAGAUUCAACAUAUCUUUAAAUAUGUGCAUUUUUAUGCUUCCCAUAUAUAUAUAUAUGGGGAGCAUAUAGUUGCCAGUUUGGGGUUUCUUACUUACUGCCGUAUCUUUUUUGUUACCGUUUCUUAUAGGGCCUUCAAUAUUUUACCGAUCUCUGACAUAUUUGGCAUGUACGUACCUUGCAUGGACCUCUACCUUUUGAUGAUGUUUGAGGUCACUGUGGUCAAGGUCAAGGUCACUGAGGCUUAUAAUAGAUUUUCCGUCACAAUUUUGUUAGUUUCUCAUAGCACCUUACAUAUUUUCCCGAUCUCUUACAUAUUUGGCAUGUAGGUACCUUUCAUGGACCUCUACCUUUUGAUGAGGUUUAAGUUAUUGGGGUCAAGGUCAAGGUCACCAAGGCGAAUAAUAGAUUUUCUGUUACAGUUUUGUUACAGUUUCUCAUAGCACCUUCAAUAUUUAACAGAUCUCUUACAUAUUUGGCAUGUAGGUACUUUGCAUGGACCUCUACCUUUUGAUGAGGUUUGAGGUCACUGGGGUCAAGGUCACCGAAGCUAAUAAUAGAUUUUCUCAAUGUCACACUUUGGUUACAGUUUCUCAUAGCGCCUAUAAUAUUUGAUCGAUCUCUUAUAUUUGGGAUGAAGGUACUUUGCAUGGACCUCUUCCUUUUUGAUGAGGUUUGAGGUCACUGGGGUCAAGGUCACUGAGGCUAAUAAUAGAUUUUCUCAAGGUCACACUUUUUUCCACACAAACCAUAUAUCGACAAAGCAUCAAUGGGGAGCAUCCAUCAGUUUUACUGAUAUCCUUGUUUUUAUUAGUCAUGUGUUCUUUUAUUUGUAUGCAAAUCUUAAUAAUUAUGGUAUACAGUCCUGAAAUGUGGAUAUAAAAACAUAUUUCCCCCAAAAUAUAGCAAUAUAUAAAAACCUAUGCAUAUUCACACUUUUAAAGAAUAUAUUUAUCAAGUACUUGAAAUGCAUGGAUACAAACUUUGAGAAAAGCAUAUUUAAUGCUUUUAUUUUCCACACGUGCCUUUUGAUGUAUUAGAAUUGACACCUACAAUAUUCAUAUAAUGUUCUGAAAAUGUUAUGCCACUGUAAAAUAGUUACCUGUAGUGUGCAUGUGGAUAAAUGUACUGUAAGUAUAAUAAUUGUAUACUAAUUUUGCGACUACUACAUAUUUUUUGUGUUUCUGUGCGUUUACACGAACAGGAAAUUUCUUUUGAAAACAAUUGUAUUCAUACUUAUUUAAAGAUAAGUGUGUUUUUAUUAUGCUGUAUUAGCGCUUAAUAAGCACCUUAAAUCAAGCUCAUACUUUGUUUUGUCCAAUUUGAAAUUUGGAAUAGUUAUCACUGGCAAAAAUAUUUACUGAUAUGUUAUCUCUGUUUUAUUUUGGAUGAAUCUCAUAAUCUCAUACUCAGGACCAGAAUUCCGUUCUAGCCUGGUUUAAACUUUAGCCAUUAACUAUUUAAUGGUGUUUUUGUUUUGUUCUUUGUGCAAUAUUCAUUUAAGUCAAUGAAAUAUUUUUUUGGAAUGUUACUAGUUUUUUGUCUUUUGCUGUCUUCCUUGAUAGUUUACAUGCAGUUUUACAUGUUUAUAGCUCUUAUGUGACUAUUGAAAUCCACAAAUCUAGUCAGUUUUCUUAUACAUAGUUUUAUAUAAAAAUUCGGUGAUGUAUCAUUAUCAUUAUAUUUGUGACUUUGUUGUGAUGACUGGUGUUAUGUACCGGUAUACUUCGUUAUCCUGUUUUAUUUGUUUUUGAUUUUGAAUCUUUUCUAGUCAUUUGUUCUGAUCCUCUGUGACUUGUUAAACCACGAAAAUGUUUGCAAAAAUCCUUGUAUGAUCAUGUAAAAUUCGACUUAAAGAUUUGGCAUUAUUGUGGUAUAUUUGCCAAUAAGCAAAUUUCUAUUGUUAUGUUACCUGUUGUGUCUUGUAUUGAGUCUUGUAAUCUUUAAGUCAGAACUGUCUGAGUUUUGGAUGUUUGAAUCUGAACUUGA
RNA transcript from Dreissena polymorpha, 7096 nucleotides. It is a transcript of the gene named serine/threonine-protein kinase TNNI3K-like, with no coding region annotated. NCBI's taxonomy places the organism in Eukaryota, Metazoa, Mollusca, Bivalvia, Myida, Dreissenidae. The transcript is spliced from 23 exons. The record is from RefSeq and is a predicted model, not a curated record.